Molecule: long non-coding RNA, 236 nt
Filed under: Mytilus galloprovincialis (Mediterranean mussel)
Lineage: Eukaryota; Metazoa; Mollusca; Bivalvia; Mytilida; Mytilidae
Source: RNAcentral
CUUUAGUUAUUGUAUCUACUUUCUUUGUAGCUCUCUCUGUUACUGUGUUUUGGGUUUCGACACCUUUUGUUUGGAUAGGGUUUGACGUUACUCCCUUUGUUGAAGCCUUUUGAAUUGUUUUCUUUUCUAUUGUUGCGUCCUGAGUUGUCGUCACCUGUGCUGAUGUAUCUGUUUUUAUUGUUUCUUGUGAUGAGGUUUUUGGUGGAGUGUUUCCUUCAGUUGUUGUUUCAAAAACU